RNAcentral lists this non-coding RNA (26 nucleotides) under Rattus norvegicus (Norway rat). Lineage: Eukaryota; Metazoa; Chordata; Mammalia; Rodentia; Muridae. The record is from RNAcentral.
UGGAUAUAUCGACUUCACUGCGGACC